AUCCAGCUGACGAGUCCAGAAUGGGACGAAGUGUGAGAUAUCCUGGAU
Molecule: non-coding RNA, 48 nt
Filed under: Trichobilharzia regenti
Lineage: Eukaryota; Metazoa; Platyhelminthes; Trematoda; Strigeidida; Schistosomatidae
Source: RNAcentral